UUCAAUUCGACAGCUGUUUGUAUGGCAUCAGGAUUGAUUGAUAAAGCCGUCUGCUCGUCUGUUAUAAACACACAUUAUUCAUCCAUACCUACCGGAUGGGAACGAAACAAGCGUAAGAGCCACCGCAACUAUCACUGCAUCUCAUCAGCAAGAGGAAUCAGUUUCGUGCAAUUUUUUUAAGGUCUACGGGCUUUGACAAAGGAUUUCGCGCCAAAAGGCGACUUAAAUGAUGAAAAGUCACAAAGCGCAGCGAGGCGUGGUAAAUUACCACAAGGGAAACACUGAGAACAGGGAAUGGUGGCAGCGUGACAGCUUAAUGCAAACGUGAAAACACGAUGGCGGAGAGGCGGUGAGUAAACGAGAUCGUGCUAGCAGACGAGUGGUGUCGCAUAAACGACAACAAUGACCGACGAGUUGCUAAACCAUCCAGGCCUUCGGCAUGCCGAAACUGGCGUUGAACUUGCGUCGUUGGCCUGUUCGCAGUAAGCACUUGUUUAGUAAGGGAACAAACCUUUAGCGAUAACAAAAGUAACAGCAGCCUACCACGAAAGCAGACUCCUUUUUCGUGCUUUGUUUUCACGUAAGGUGCAGCUAAAGUUUCGUAAAGACUAGGAUGUUAGGUUGCUGAGUUCUGCUCAUGAGCACUUGAGGCGGGCGUAAGAUAUUGUAUCUAUAAGGAGAAAAGAAUGUCGCAAUACCCGUGGUAUAACUCAAUGGUAGGACUAAAUAUGGCUAUAGCUCAAGAAACGCGUGUUCCAGUGACGUGCUCACUCACAAAAAUAAAUAUACAAGGCGCAGUAGACAUAGGCUUGCAGUGGAGGUUACACGAUGGCAAAAUAGGGUUUUAAAUUGGUUGAAGAAGACCAGGAAUCGCUGCGCUACGUUCCGCCAACGACACAUUCUGCACAUUGUACGAAUGGAGCAUGCUGUUUUCACUUUGGAAAAAGGUUGGUUGAAAGGGGUGCUGCCUCGACUGUAGACCUAUGGUCUUCAUAUAUAUAUAUAUGCUGCUUGAUAUAAUAUUCGCUCCUUAUAUUAUAUGUAAGACAAUGUUGUUAAUCACUACGGCAGACACACUUAUAUUUCAAGGUAUUCGUUGCUACAAGUAGCUAUUUAACUACUUAAUAGAACGAAAACCUUGACGAGUUGAUGAAGAAAUAGGUCUUUUUGAGCUUCGACGGUACAAAAAGUUUGGAACGACGGAAGUUUUAAAAAUCGGAAGGCAAACUCUGUUAGAAUUAUUAGCAAAAAGCGACAAAGUUUAUAAACGUCGGCCGAAAUAUUAAAACUAGAGCGAUCUAUUACAGUAUACUAUGGAAAAAUAAAAGCAGUCUUUGAAUUUCGCAGUCCUUUAUAAAAACUAACUCUCAGCGCCAUGCGAGCGUUUUUCAGUGAUUCAGAACUUCUUUUCGUGUGGCAUUGCGACUUCCAGCGUUCACCCCCGAGAUAGAGGCAACGUUUAGCCUCAUGUUUGUAGGACCCGUACCUGUGUUCAGGUGCUAACAAUUCAUCAAUCUUUAGAGAAGCCACCUAUUGCGUGUUGGACAGUUUUAGCUCUAGGCGGCACAUUUACUCUGACUGUCGAGGCAUUUGUUUUCUGAAACUGUCGUUGUCUUAAGCUGCUACUAGACUAAUUACAUUAAGUGCAUUGACACACAAUCGUUAAACAACCGCUGGAGGACUGAUCUUAGACAACUUGAUAUUGACUUAAACAUGAAAUACAAUAACCAGCUGGUCUAUGAUAUCCCCUGGGUAUGUGUGACAAAAGGCUAUUAUAUCAUACUAACAGAGCAAUAGAAUAAACACCUUAACCAAAAAAACACAUACAUUAAUCUACCCUAAAGGUAUUACUUUUAAAAGCAGUUUCUUUUGCCAUCUACUUUUAAUAAUACGUACGGAGUUUACAAUUCUGCAACGGCAGCUAGUUCAAUUGGAAAACUUUGUCUGCUGCAUAUCUUCAAAAAAAUGGGAUGAUUUAGAGGCUAUUGCGUAUACGUACCCGAGAAAGGAGCUUUUGGAGCUAGCUGUGUCUUUCCGUCACUAAAGGCUUCAGUCAUUCCGUGACUGCUUGAAGCACAUGCUCGAUUACUCCGUUGUACCGUAAGCGUCCUACAGCCGUUUCGAUGUGUCUGAUGUAGUUCCUUUAAAGAUAAUCCUGCCGCAUGUGAAGCAGAUCAUGUUUUCCGUCAGGACGACGCCGAAGUCCCCAAAGAAAUACUGCGCAGCAUGCAACGCCCGGAUCAAAGCGUUCCACAUCACCCUCGGGCCAGAAUCAGCUGCACAACACGGGUGCAAUAGUGCACCAAGAUUUAGAAAACCUCACCGCUUGGGCCUUUUAAGGCGCCUAUAAAAUCUACCCUUGGAUGCUUGAGACGCUGAAGGGGUUUAUAAAGUCUAUCUCAAUUUUUCAACGGGGCGUUCUGCAACUAGCGCCGGGUGGAGCAGGUCGCACCGCUCUUGGUUCUGGGGGCGUCAAGCGGAGCGCGUCACGCCGCUUUAAGUCUCAGGGGCGCCGAGUGGAGUCCGUCGCUCUGGAUCUCAUUACGCCGUUGGUGGACCUCGCAAUGGGUCAACAUUUCCCGCACCCGCGUCGUAAGCUCGCCCCUAAUAAGAAAGCGAUCUUUAACGUGUUACAAUGCAUUGCGCCUGCUAAUGUCUGCUGCCAUCCUCCCUGAGUAACAUUAGGUGAUAGCACCAGGUUGGAAUGAUAGAACAUAAAGAGCGACGCGAGACUUUUUUAAAUUAGCAAUUAUCUUACACAGAAAAGUGUCCCUUCUUUGUGCCUUGCGAGGGGCUAUUCCAUUUCAGCGGCACGGUUGACAUCCACAUUGGGGCUAGGGGAAUCUUGCCCGUAAAUAACUUUCAAAGGUGUGCUCCUGUAAGGUCAGAGCCCACCGCCUUCUUUCUUUGAACGAAGGUUCAUUUUCUCCUUGAAGUUCUUUAGCGCAGUGCUGUUAACAAACGCACGUAACGUGUCGCUCAUACCAGUGCGGUCGGAAUUUUUCAACGGCCGCGCUAUCUUUGAAAAAUGCUAUUGCUUUUCCUUCAGAACGACGGAUAGCAUGACUGACGAUUCGCUCGCGGUCUUGUUCUAUGUGAGUCAGUGCUGACCCCUUUUUCUGUUUAAGUUAGUACUACCUCCAGCUCGAUCCUCUGGUGUCUGUUUGUAGCCUUGUUUCCAGAUCCUGCCAAAAAGUGUACAGGACGGAUUUUCCGUGAUCUUGCAAUCGCCGAUAGGCCCCAUAAUGGUCAACGUUUCAAACAAAGUCCUUCAGGUUGACCACGCCGCAGACCGGGCUAGCGAUUCCCUCCUAUCCCACAUAAACCCCCUGGUAAUAAAAAACUAGUCCCAAGAAACUUUAAAACUUUUUAGCGGACGUGAGGAGGGGAGGGUUUUUACUUUCUGAGCCUUCUUGAGAUCCGCGGAGAUUCUGGCGGCCGUGAUCUUGAAUUUUAUAGGGAUCCGUGGAAAUUUCAACGACCGUGAUAUUGGCGUAGAUUAAAAAAAUAGUUUUGCAACUCAUCUUCCGAGUUUCAAAAGUACAUUUUUUGUUUUCAGUCGUAGGCCGG
Molecule: long non-coding RNA, 3570 nt
Filed under: Varroa destructor (honeybee mite)
Lineage: Eukaryota; Metazoa; Arthropoda; Arachnida; Mesostigmata; Varroidae
Description: uncharacterized LOC111251531
Source: RNAcentral